This 373-nucleotide ribosomal RNA is filed under the name uncultured bacterium. RNAcentral describes it as "bacterial SSU rRNA". It matches the Rfam family "Bacterial small subunit ribosomal RNA", at positions 525 to 896 of the family's 1533-position model. The record is from RNAcentral.
ACGUAGGGACCAAGCGUUGUUCGGAUUUACUGGGCGUAAAGGGCGCGUAGGCGGCGUGACAAGUCACUUGUGAAAUCUCCGGGCUUAACUCGGAACUGCCAAGUGAUACUGUCGUGCUAGAGUGCAGAAGGGGCAAUCGGAAUUCUUGGUGUAGCGGUGAAAUGCGUAGAUAUCAAGAGGAACACCUGAGGUGAAGACGGGUUGCUGGGCUGACACUGACGCUGAGGCGCGAAAGCUAGGGGAGCAAACGGGAUUAGAUACCCCGGUAGUCCUAGCCCUAAACGAUGAAUACUUGGUGUCUGGAGUUUUUAUCCUCCGGGUGCCGUCGCUAACGUUUUAAGUAUUCCGCCUGGGGAGUACGCACGCAAGUGUG